RNAcentral lists this non-coding RNA (29 nucleotides) under Mus musculus (house mouse). Lineage: Eukaryota; Metazoa; Chordata; Mammalia; Rodentia; Muridae. The record is from RNAcentral.
UCCCAAGAGAAGCACUUCAGUGGUGCAGU